Long non-coding RNA from Sitophilus oryzae (rice weevil), 849 nucleotides. RefSeq lists it as uncharacterized. Lineage: Eukaryota; Metazoa; Arthropoda; Insecta; Coleoptera; Curculionidae. The record is from RefSeq and is a predicted model, not a curated record. The transcript is spliced from 3 exons.
UUGACGUACACGUUUGUUCCAUUAUGAACAUGUUAUGAACAACAAAAUAUUCUAGGAUCAAAUCUCAUCAGAACGUUGAAUUUAAUAAGUUAUAAAAAAUUGAUAUCGUAAAACGACUUCAACAGUUUGUUUCUUCGAUUUAAAAUAUUUUGGUGCCUCCAAUGAAUAUUAUGAGGAAUGAGUUAAAUGCUCAUACUAUAAUAUUAUACUGGUAUGAAAUGAUUUUAAGGAACUUACCUCCCCUUUUGGAUACUGCAAAUCGAUACAUUUCUCUAUAAGAGCGUUUGUUAUUACUCUUGGUUCUCUUUCUUUGCAAGGAUCCAACAUAUUCUAGGUCUCUAAAAAGAAGCACUAAAAAAAUAUAGAUAAGGAAUAUGCGAAGUAAUUUUAUGCUUCCAACUUUGAGGCAAUUUAAAAAAUUAAAUGUAGUAAGAAUUUAGUAUUAAAUAUCGAAGAAAAUUUUAUAUAUUCAGCGUAGAAGGUUAUACGGAAUCCAAAAAUUUAUCACAUGAGUGGAUAUAGACAGAAGAAUUCUAAAGUUGAUAGGGAAAAGGAAAGCAUGAAAUAAGAACAUUCAAAAAUGAGUUUUCGAAGGAAUUUUAUAUUGUAGGAUCUGAUAUUUUAAAAAUAUGAAGAAAAACAAGAACAUGGACUUCAGUGAACUAUCCAGAUAUACAUUUUAAAUUAUACUGAUUCUCUCCCUGUUUUUUUUUUAAUUUCUACUGCUUCAAUGUCUUGAUUUAAAACUGAAUGUCUCACGUAAAAUUUUCAUUUAGCUUCUGUAUGUGUCUACGAUUUUAUAAUUUCAAUUGUUAUAGUUCUUCCACUACAAAAUAUAUGAGAUCUCAA